RNAcentral lists this ribosomal RNA (776 nucleotides) under Rostriconidium aquaticum. RNAcentral describes it as "partial large subunit ribosomal RNA". It matches the Rfam family "Eukaryotic large subunit ribosomal RNA", at positions 77 to 868 of the family's 3401-position model. The record is from RNAcentral. Lineage: Eukaryota; Fungi; Ascomycota; Dothideomycetes; Pleosporales; Torulaceae.
GCCCCAGUAACGGCGAGUGAAGCGGCAACAGCUCAAAUUUGAAAUCUGGCCCCCUCGGGGUCCGAGUUGUAAUUUGCAGAGGGUGCUUUCGGCGUCGGCCGUGGUCUAAGUUCCUUGGAACAGGACGUCACAGAGGGUGAGAAUCCCGUACGUGGCCGCCGGCCUUCGCCUUGUAAAGCCCCUUCGACGAGUCGAGUUGUUUGGGAAUGCAGCUCUAAAUGGGAGGUAAAUUUCUUCUAAAGCUAAAUACCCGCCAGAGACCGAUAGCGCACAAGUAGAGUGAUCGAAAGAUGAAAAGCACUUUGGAAAGAGAGUGAAAAAGCACGUGAAAUUGUUGAAAGGGAAGCGCUUGCGGCCAGACGUGCCCGCGGUGGUUCAGCCGGGCUCCCGCCCGGUGCACUCCUCCGCGGGCAGGCCAGCAUCAGUUCGGGCGGCCGGACAAAGGCCUCCAUCACGUACCACCCCUCGGGGUGGCCUUAUAGGGGAGGCGCAACACGGCCAGCCGGGACUGAGGAUCCGCGCAUCACGCUAGGAUGCUGGCGUAAUGGCAGCAAGCGGCCCGUCUUGAAACACGGACCAAGGAGUCUAACAUCUAUGCGAGUGUUUGGGUGGCAAGCCCGAGCGCGCAAUGAAAGUGAACGGAGGUGGGAACCCCUCGGGGCGCACCAUCGACCGAUCCUGAUGUCUUCGGAUGGAUUUGAGUAAGAGCAUAGCUGUUGGGACCCGAAAGAUGGUGAACUAUGCCUGAAUAGGGUGAAGCCAGAGGAAACUCUGGU